CCCUUAGAUGUCCUGGGCCGCACGCGCGCUACACUGAGUGUCUGAGAUACGAGUCUGCCUGGUCCGGCAAGGUCUAGGUAAUCGCUAAAAGACACAUCAUGCUUGGGAUAGAUUAUUGCAAAUAUUAAUCUUGAACGAGGAAUUCCUAAUAAGCGCAAGUCAACAGCUUGCGUUGAUUACGUCCCUGCCCUUUGUACACACCGCCCGUCGCUACUACUGAUUGGAUGUUUAAGCGAGGUUCUCGAACUGCUAGCGACUUAGCUUCGGUGAGGUCGCAGUGUGGGAAGUGAACCUAGCUUUGGUGUCUAGAGGAAGUAAAAGUCGUAACA
This 329-nucleotide ribosomal RNA is filed under the name uncultured eukaryote. RNAcentral describes it as "partial 18S ribosomal RNA". It matches the Rfam family "Eukaryotic small subunit ribosomal RNA", at positions 1470 to 1796 of the family's 1831-position model. The record is from RNAcentral.